UGGGGAAUUUUGCACAAUGGGCGAAAGCCUGAUGCAGCAACGCCACGUGAGUGAAGAAGGCCCUUGGGUCGUAAAGCUCUUUCGGUUGGGAAGAGGGGUUCGUCGAGUAACUGCGAUGGAUCUGACGGUACCAAAAGAAGAAGCACUGGCUAAUUCCGUGCCAGCAGCCGCGGUAAUACGGAAGGUGCAAGCGUUGUUCGGAAUGACUGGGCGUAAAGAGCGCGUAGACGGAUUUGUAAGUCGGAUGUGAAAUCCCUGGGCUCAACCCAGGAACUGCACUCGAAACUACAAGUCUUGAAUGUCUGAGGGGUUAGUGGAAUUCCCGGUGUAGGAGUGAAAUCCGUAGAUAUCGGGAGGAACACCAGAGGCGAAGGCGGCUAACUGGCAGAACAUUGACGUUGAGGCGCGAAAGCGUGGGGAGCAAACAGG
Molecule: ribosomal RNA, 429 nt
Filed under: uncultured bacterium
Lineage: Bacteria
Description: partial 16S ribosomal RNA
Rfam family: Bacterial small subunit ribosomal RNA
Source: RNAcentral